Molecule: ribosomal RNA, 503 nt
Filed under: uncultured bacterium
Lineage: Bacteria
Description: partial 16S ribosomal RNA
Rfam family: Bacterial small subunit ribosomal RNA
Source: RNAcentral
GAUGAACGCUAGCGGCAGGCCUAACACAUGCAAGUCGAGGGGUAGCAGGAUUAAGCUUGCUUAAUUGCUGACGACCGGCGCACGGGUGCGUAACGCGUAUGCAACCUACCUUAUACUGGGGUAUAGCCCGGAGAAAUUCGGAUUAAUCCCCCAUAGUACUAAUGAAUCGCAUGGUUUAUUAGUUAAAGCAUUGCGGUAUAAGAUGGGCAUGCGUCCUAUUAGCUAGAUGGUGAGGUAACGGCUCACCAUGGCUACGAUAGGUGGGGGGCCUGAGAGGGUGGUCCCCCACACUGGUACUGAGACACGGACCAGACUCCUACGGGAGGCAGCAGUGAGGAAUAUUGGUCAAUGGGCGCAAGCCUGAACCAGCCAUGCCGCGUGCGGGAAGAAUGCCCUAUGGGUUGUAAACUGCUUUUAUUUGGGAAUAAACCUCUUUACGUGUAGAGAGCUGAAGGUACCAAAUGAAUAAGCACCGGCUAACUCCGUGCCAGCCGCCGCGGUAA